CGGGUGAGUAAUGCGUGACCAACCUGCCCCAUGCUCCAGAAUAGCUCUUGGAAACGGGUGGUAAUGCUGAUGCUCCAACUUGACGCAUGUCUUGUUGGGAAAGUGUUUAGUGGCAUGGGAUGGGGUCGCGUCCUAUCAGCUUGUAGGCGGGGUAAUGGCCCACCUAGGCUUCGACGGGUAGCCGGCCUGAGAGGGCGGACGGCCACAUUGGGACUGAGAUACGGCCCAGACUCCUACGGGAGGCAGCAGCG
RNAcentral lists this ribosomal RNA (251 nucleotides) under uncultured Gardnerella sp. RNAcentral's name for it is "partial 16S ribosomal RNA". It matches the Rfam family "Bacterial small subunit ribosomal RNA", at positions 103 to 356 of the family's 1533-position model. Lineage: Bacteria; Bacillati; Actinomycetota; Actinomycetes; Bifidobacteriales; Bifidobacteriaceae. The record is from RNAcentral.